GAUAUUUGAGUGUAAAAGUGGGAGGAUAAGAAUAAAAUAUUGAGAGAAGAUGAAGACAAAUAAUUAGGAAACAAAAAAGAUACAGAGAAAUAAUAAUCAAUAGAUAAUAAUUUUAAAAAUAACUCCAUCUACUUAUACAGUUUAUUAUACAGAAACAAAUCAAGGUGCUAAUAUCAAUAAACAUCAACAUUCAAUGACCAAAUACCACUCUAAUUUUAGAUCAAAAAAUUCGCAUAUAGAUGUUGUAAGGGAGAGUAUUUUAUAUUUAUAUAAUACAAAAACACUACCAAUAUUAAUUACGAAAAAUCCCCUGUAUCGACAAUGUAUCGUCAUAAAUACUAUAAUCCCGCAACUGGAAAUUAACGUCUUCCGAGCAAUCCUGGAAUAGUCCCCCCCAAUAUUCCCUUGCCAUAAAACGAACUAAAAAUAACAAAUAUCAUGAAACAAAAACACAGAAAAUCAAUAAGUAAACGCAUUAAAGAUUUUCUCCUGGGAUUUUAUGAACUGCAAUGUAGAUACUGAAGGAGAAGGGGGGGGGGGCGCGAAUACGCAGUGGCGCGUGUGGUUUAAUUAGAAGCAACGCGAAGAGCCUUAACAGGUCUUGACAUCCUUUGCCCACUCUGGAGACAGAGCUUCCCCUUCGGGGGCAAAGUGACAGGUGGUGCAUGGUUGUCGUCAGCUCGUGUCGUGAGAUGUUGGGUUAAGUCCCGCAACGAGCGCAACCCUUGACCUUAGUUGCCAGCAUUUAGUUGGGCACUCUAAGGUGACUGCCGGUGACAAACCGGAGGAAGGUGGGGAUGACGUCAAAUCAUCAUGCCCCUUAUGACCUGGGCUACACACGUGCUACAAUGGAUGGUACAAAGGGUUGCGAAGCCGCGAGGUGAAGCCAAUCCCAUAAAGCCAUUCUCAGUUCGGAUUGUAGGCUGCAACUCGCCUGCAUGAAGCUGGAAUUGCUAGUAAUCGCGGAUCAGCAUGCCGCGGUGAAUACGUUCCCGGGCCUUGUACACACCGCCCGUCACACCACGAGAGUUUGUAACACCCGAAGUCGGUGAGGUAACCUUUGGAGCCAGCCGCCGAAGAU
RNAcentral lists this ribosomal RNA (1081 nucleotides) under Alkalicoccobacillus gibsonii. RNAcentral describes it as "bacterial SSU rRNA". The stretch from base 491 to 1081 matches the Rfam family "Bacterial small subunit ribosomal RNA", at positions 875 to 1463 of the family's 1533-position model. Lineage: Bacteria; Bacillati; Bacillota; Bacilli; Caryophanales; Bacillaceae. The record is from RNAcentral.